UACGAAGGGAGCUAGCGUUGUUCGGAAUCACUGGGCGUAAAGCGCACGUAGGCGGAUGUGUCAGUCAGGGGUGAAAUCCCGGAGCUCAACUUCGGAACUGCCCUUGAUACAGCACGUCUUGAGUCCGGAAGAGGUGGGUGGAAUUCCUAGUGUAGAGGUGAAAUUCGUAGAUAUUAGGAAGAACACCGGUGGCGAAGGCGGCCCACUGGUCCGGUACUGACGCUGAGGCACGAAAGCGUGGGGAGCAAACAGG
This 253-nucleotide ribosomal RNA is filed under the name uncultured bacterium. RNAcentral describes it as "partial 16S ribosomal RNA". It matches the Rfam family "Bacterial small subunit ribosomal RNA", at positions 524 to 776 of the family's 1533-position model. The record is from RNAcentral.